CAGUCGCCGCGGUAAGACAGAGGAUGCAAGCGUUAUCCGGAAUGAUUGGGCGUAAAGCGUCUGUAGGUGGCUUUUCAAGUCCGCCGUCAAAUCCCAGGGCUCAACCCUGGACAGGCGGUGGAAACUACCAAGCUGGAGUACGGUAGGGGCAGAGGGAAUUUCCGGUGGAGCGGUAAAAUGCGUUGAGAUCGGAAAGAACACCAACGGCGAAGGCACUCUGCUGGGCCGACACUGACACUGAGAGACGAAAGCUAGGGGAGCAAAUGGGAUUAGAUACCCCUGUAGUCCCUGUCUCUUAUAC
This 301-nucleotide ribosomal RNA is filed under the name uncultured bacterium. RNAcentral's name for it is "partial 16S ribosomal RNA". It matches the Rfam family "Bacterial small subunit ribosomal RNA", at positions 509 to 807 of the family's 1533-position model. The record is from RNAcentral.